This 1284-nucleotide ribosomal RNA is filed under the name Rhynchocypris oxycephala (Chinese minnow). RNAcentral's name for it is "Phoxinus oxycephalus (Chinese minnow) partial 16S ribosomal RNA". It matches the Rfam family "Bacterial large subunit ribosomal RNA", at positions 614 to 2596 of the family's 2925-position model. Lineage: Eukaryota; Metazoa; Chordata; Actinopteri; Cypriniformes; Leuciscidae. The record is from RNAcentral.
CAUGAUUUAGCCAGUAUCCCCAAGCAAAGAGACCUUUAGUUUGAUACCCCGAAACCAGGUGAGCUACCCCGAGACAGCCUAUAUUAGUUUAGGGCUAACCCGUCUCUGUGGCAAAAGAGUGGGAAGAGCUCCGGGUAGAAGUGAAAGACCUACCGAACCUGGUGAUAGCUGGUUGACUGAGAAAUGGAUAGAAGUUCAGCCUCGCACACCCCAAACCAAAAAAUAUUAUUACAAGAUAUUAAGGGAAACGUGCGAGAGUUAGUUGAAAGGGGUACAGCCCUUUUAACAAAGGAUACAACCUUUACAGGAGGAUAAAGAUCAUAAUGUAUAAGAUAUACUGUUCUAGUGGGCCUGAAAGCAGCCACCUAAGCAGAAAGCGUUAAAGCUCGGACAGAAAGAAGUUUAUUAUACUGAUAGAAAAUCUUAUUCCCCUAGCGAUAUCAGACCAACCCAUGCCUCCAUGGAAGAGAUUAUGCUAAAAUGAGUAAUAAGAAGACCCGCUCUUCUCCCAGCACAAGUGUAGACCAGAUCGGACUGACCACUGGAACUUAACGAACCCAACCCCAGAGGGUAGUGUGAUUAACAAAAAACUCAAGAAGACCUCACAUAAUUGAUCGUUAACCCCACACUGGAGUGCUAUUUUAAGGGAAAGACUAAAAGAAGGGGAAGGAACUCGGCAAACACAAGCCUCGCCUGUUUACCAAAAACAUCGCCUCCUGCAACUAAACUGAGUAUAGGAGGUCCAGCCUGCCCAGUGACUACGGGUUCAACGGCCGCGGUAUCUUGACCGUGCAAAGGUAGCGCAAUCACUUGUCUCUUAAAUAGAGACCUGUAUGAAUGGCUAGACGAGGGCUUAACUGUCUCCCUCUUCCAGUCAGUGAAAUUGAUCUAUCCGUGCAGAAGCGGGUAUAAAUAUACAAGACGAGAAGACCCUUUGGAGCUUAAGGUACAAAAUUCAGCCACGUUAAACAACUCUAUAAGAAGCAAGAACUUAAUGAUAAUGAAAUUUUACCUUCGGUUGGGGCGACCGCGGAGGAAAAACAAGCCUCCGAGUGGACUGGGCCAAAUCCCUGAAGCCAAUAGAGACAUCUAUAAGCCGCAGAACAUCUGACCAAAAAUGAUCCGGCUAAAAGCCGAUCAACGGACCAAGUUACCCAAGGGAUAACAGCGCAAUCCCCUCCCAGAGCCCAUAUCUACGAGGGGGUUUACGACCUCGAUGUUGGAUCAGGACAUCCUAAUGGUGCAGCCGCUAUUAAGGGUUCGUUUGUUCAACGAUUAAAGUCC